RNAcentral lists this ribosomal RNA (253 nucleotides) under uncultured bacterium. Its description in RNAcentral is "partial 16S ribosomal RNA". It matches the Rfam family "Bacterial small subunit ribosomal RNA", at positions 524 to 776 of the family's 1533-position model. The record is from RNAcentral.
UACGUAGGUGACAAGCGUUGUCCGGAUUUACUGGGCGUAAAGGGCGCGUAGGCGGUCUGCUAAGUUGGAUGUGAAAACUCUGGGCUUAACCCAGAGCCUGCAUUCAAUACUGACAGGCUAGAGUUCUGGAGGGGAUAGCGGAAUUCCUGGUGUAGCGGUGAAAUGCGUAGAUAUCAGGAGGAACACCGGUGGCGAAGGCGGCUAUCUGGACAGAGUCUGACGCUGAGGCGCGAAAGCGUGGGGAGCGAACAGG